UGGGGAAUUUUGGACAAUGGGCGCAAGCCUGAUCCAGCCAUGCCGCGUGAGUGAAGAAGGCCUUCGGGUUGUAAAGCUCUUUCGGACGGGAAGAAAUGGCGGGCUCUAACAUAGCCUGUCGAUGACGGUACCGUAAGAAGAAGCACCGGCUAACUACGUGCCAGCAGCCGCGGUAAUACGUAGGGUGCGAGCGUUAAUCGGAAUUACUGGGCGUAAAGCGUGCGCAGGCGAUUUUGUAAGACAGAUGUGAAAUCCCCGGGCUUAACCUCGGAAUUGCCCUCAAAACUGCACGUCUUGAGACCGAGAGAGGUAAGGGGAAUUCCUAGUGUAGAGGUGAAAUUCGUAGAUAUUAGGAAGAACACCAGUGGCGAAGGCGCCUUACUGGCUCGGUACUGACGCUGAGGUACGAAAGCGUGGGGAGCAAACA
Molecule: ribosomal RNA, 427 nt
Filed under: uncultured bacterium
Lineage: Bacteria
Description: bacterial SSU rRNA
Rfam family: Bacterial small subunit ribosomal RNA
Source: RNAcentral